ACACACUGAGAUUUGUGCGCACUUUUUAUGCGCACAUAUCUAAUUAGCAUACUUAAUCUGAAUCUAUUACAAGCUUAAAGCAACUAGGGGAUAGAACUCGUUAGUCCUUCGAUUUGGUUCCAAAUUAUUCAUAAAAAAACUUUAGAAAUACAAGGACAAGAAAAAUACCCGCUUAUUCUUAUUACAAAAUAUUUAUACCAAAUGGUGAAAACUUUAUAUUAAAAUUAUAAGAAAACUGGAACAAUUUGCACUGAAAAACAUAUAAUGCAGUGAAGUUUUUACUCAAGUUUCUAUAAUAGCAUAUACACGUAACAAAAAUAUAAAAGAUUAACUUGCGAAAUCAGGGUAACAGUUGAAAGACUUUUUAAAAGGGACCCAUGCUAAAACGGUUUUAAGUCCCGAUACACUGGUAGUAAUGCUAUGAAUUAUAGGCAACAAACUUGUGAAUAUGAACGAUGUUAAGUCAUGAAAUUUAUUACGAAUGUUAAUUGGUUGAAGGAAUCGCAUUUCACUAUAAUGACAAGAGCUUUUGAGAUCAAGAUAUUAAUCUGUUAAAUUAUUCAUCUCAUGAAUAUUCAUUAGUAAUUUGCAUAUUAAUCUCAGUGUGUAUUUUUGAAAUCUCAGUGUGUAAUUAACAAUUCUCAGUGUGUGUUUUUCAGUUUAUUUAUUCUCAGUGUGUCUUUUUGAAAUCUCAGUGUGUUAUUUUCAAUUCUCAGUGUGUAAUUUUCAAUUCUCAGUGUGUAAUUUUCAAUUCUCAGUG
RNAcentral lists this long non-coding RNA (760 nucleotides) under Mytilus galloprovincialis (Mediterranean mussel). The record is from RNAcentral. Lineage: Eukaryota; Metazoa; Mollusca; Bivalvia; Mytilida; Mytilidae.